Molecule: ribosomal RNA, 779 nt
Filed under: uncultured marine bacterium
Lineage: Bacteria
Description: bacterial SSU rRNA
Rfam family: Bacterial small subunit ribosomal RNA
Source: RNAcentral
UGCAAGUCGAGCGCUACCUUCGGGUGGAGCGGCGGACGGGUUAGUAACGCGUGGGAAUAUACCCAGUUCUAAGGAAUAGCCACUGGAAACGGUGAGUAAUACCUUAUACGCCCUUCGGGGGAAAGAUUUAUCGGAAUUGGAUUAGCCCGCGUUAGAUUAGAUAGUUGGUGGGGUAAUGGCCUACCAAGUCUACGAUCUAUAGCCGGUUUGAGAGGAUGAUCAGCAACACUGGGACUGAGACACGGCCCAGACUCCUACGGGAGGCAGCAGUGGGGAAUCUUAGACAAUGGGCGAAAGCCUGAUCUAGCCAUGCCGCGUGAGUGUUGAAGGCCCUAGGGUCGUAAAGCUCUUUCAACUGUGAAGAUAAUGACGGUAGCAGUAGAAGAAACCCCGGCUAACUCCGUGCCAGCAGCCGCGGUAAUACGGAGGGGGUUAGCGUUGUUCGGAAUUACUGGGCGUAAAGCGUACGUAGGCGGAUUAAUAAGUUAGAGGUGAAAUCCCAGGGCUCAACCCUGGAACUGCCUUUAAAACUGUUAGUCUUGAGAUCGAGAGAGGUGGGUGGAAUUCCAAGUGUAGAGGUGAAAUUCGUAGAUAUUUGGAGGAACACCAGUGGCGAAGGCGGCUCACUGGCUCGAUACUGACGCUGAGGUACGAAAGUGUGGGGAGCAAACAGGAUUAGAUACCCUGGUAGUCCACACCGUAAACGAUGAAUGCCAGACGUCAGCAAGCAUGCUUGUUGGUGUCACACCUAACGGAUUAAGCAUUCCGCCUGGGGAGUA